This is a long non-coding RNA of Microplitis demolitor, 706 nucleotides long. RefSeq lists it as uncharacterized. The record is from RefSeq and is a predicted model, not a curated record. The transcript is spliced from 3 exons. NCBI's taxonomy places the organism in Eukaryota, Metazoa, Arthropoda, Insecta, Hymenoptera, Braconidae.
UUUGAUUUCAGUUAAAUAGUAUUUUAAUAAACUAAUUUUUAAAUUUAAAAGAAAGAAAAAAGGUAAUUAUUGUUAUACAUUCAUUACCAGUGUCCUACUAAUUUCUAGAAUUUUAUCCAACUCGCAGACUUUUUUGCUCCGUUAGUAUCAUUAAUCAUCGUCACUCGUGAACGAAGACAGUAUACAAUGAGAAACCCAAGAUGAAAAGAAAAAAGAUAAAAAAAAUAAAAACAAGAGUAGUAAGAAAAAAAAACUACGGCCAACUACCAGCGACGACGAGUACGAAGACGAAGACGAAAGGAGAAUAAGAAGAAGUAGCGUUUUAUUUGCUAAUAUGUCUAAUAAAAUAACAAAACUCCGCAAGUAGGGAAUUUUUACAACUUUUUUAUGUCCAGAAAAAUAUAAAAAUAUUUUUUCUUGAUAGAUAAUAAAAUUUUAUAAAAGUUAUUCGUGCUCCAACCAAACCCUACCAAUAAUAGUUAUCUUUUUAGUAACAUUUACAAUAUAUAUUGUACUUAUAUAUAUAAAAUAAAAAAAAAUCACAAGCGACAUUUCAGUGUGGAGUAAACUAGAACAAUCCAUUAUAAGAAUGUCCGUCAAGCUGCUGAUGCCAAUUAACACCUGAAUAUCUUAUAAUAUCAACCCUAGCGGUUUUAAUAUUAAUAUAUGCUAGAUAAAUAAAAAUAUCCAUAAUUAAAUAAUUAAU